This 502-nucleotide ribosomal RNA is filed under the name uncultured bacterium. RNAcentral's name for it is "bacterial SSU rRNA". It matches the Rfam family "Bacterial small subunit ribosomal RNA", at positions 44 to 518 of the family's 1533-position model. The record is from RNAcentral.
GUGCCUAAUACAUGCAAGUCAACGGCUUUCUAUGGAAGCUUGCUCCACUGAGAAGAUAGUGGCGAACGGGUGAGUAACACUGGGGUAACCUGCCCAGUAAGAAGGGGGAUAACAUCCGGAAACGGGUGCUAAUACCGCAUAGUUUUCUUGAUCGCAUGAUUGAGAAAGGAAAGACGGCCUUUGUGCUGUCGCUUAUGGAUGGACCCGCGGCGUAUUAGUUAGUUGGUGAGGUAAUGGCUCACCAAGACGAUGAUACGUAGCCGACCUGAGAGGGUGAUCGGCCACAUUGGGACUGAGACACGGCCCAAACUCCUACGGGAGGCAGCAGUACGGGAAUCUUCCGCAAUGGACGAAAGUCUGACGGAGCAACGCCGCGUGAGUGAAGAAAAGGUUUUCGGAUCGUAAAACUCUGUUGUCAGAGAAGAACAAGUUGGAGAGUAACUGCUCCAGCCUUGACGGUAUCUGACCAGAAAGCCACGGCUAACUACGUGCCAGCCGCUGC